RNAcentral lists this small nuclear RNA (107 nucleotides) under Microcebus murinus (gray mouse lemur). Lineage: Eukaryota; Metazoa; Chordata; Mammalia; Primates; Cheirogaleidae. The record is from RNAcentral.
GUGCUCACUUCAGCAGCACAUAUACUAAAAUUGGAACGAUACAGAGAAGAUUAGCAUGGCCCCUGUGCAAGGAUGACACACAAAUUCGUGAAGCGUUAUUUAAAAAA